RNAcentral lists this ribosomal RNA (301 nucleotides) under uncultured bacterium. RNAcentral's name for it is "partial 16S ribosomal RNA". It matches the Rfam family "Bacterial small subunit ribosomal RNA", at positions 509 to 808 of the family's 1533-position model. The record is from RNAcentral.
CAGUAGCCGCGGUAAUACGUAGGUGGCAAGCGUUGUUCGGAAUUACUGGGCGUAAAGCGCGCGUAGGCGGUUACUCAAGUCAGAGGUGAAAGCCCGGGGCUCAACCCCGGAACUGCCUUUGAAACUAGGUGACUAGAAUCUUGGAGAGGUCAGUGGAAUUCCGAGUGUAGAGGUGAAAUUCGUAGAUAUUCGGAAGAACACCAGUGGCGAAGGCGACUGACUGGACAAGUAUUGACGCUGAGGUGCGAAAGCGUGGGAGCAAACAGGACUAGAUACCCCGGUAGUCCCUGUCUCUUAUACA